RNAcentral lists this microRNA (22 nucleotides) under Homo sapiens (human). RNAcentral describes it as "hsa-miR-4772-5p". The record is from miRBase by way of RNAcentral. Lineage: Eukaryota; Metazoa; Chordata; Mammalia; Primates; Hominidae.
UGAUCAGGCAAAAUUGCAGACU